UCAUAGMGGAAGGRAAMUAAMCUAAGGAUUNNCCUAGUAACUGCGAGUGAAGCGGGAAAAGCUCAAAUUUAAAAUCUGGCGGUCUUCGGCUGUCCGAGUUGUAAUCUAGAGAAGUGUUAUCCGCGCUGGACCGUGUACAAGUCUCCUGGAAUGGAGCGUCAUAGAGGGUGAGAAUCCCGUCUUUGACACGGACUGCCAGGGCUUUGUGAUGCGCUCUCAAAGAGUCGAGUUGUUUGGGAAUGCAGCUCAAAAUGGGUGGUAAAUUCCAUCUAAAGCUAAAUAUUGGCGAGAGACCGAUAGCGAACAAGUACCGUGAGGGAAAGAUGAAAAGAACUUUGGAAAGAGAGUUAAACAGUACGUGAAAUUGCUGAAAGGGAAACGCUUGAAGUCAGUCGCGUUGGCCAGGGAUCAACCUUGCUUUUGCUGGGCGUACUUUCUGGUCGACGGGUCAGCAUCAAUUUUGACCGUUGGAUAAAGGCUGAGGGAAUGUGGCUCCUUCGGGAGUGUUAUAACCCUUGGUCGCAUACAACGAUUGGGAUUGAGGAACUCAGCACGCCGCAAGGCCGGGUACUUGUACCACGUUCGUGCUUAGGAUGCUGGCAUAAUGGCUUUAAUCGACCCGUCUUGAAACACGGACCAAGGAGUCUAACAUGCCUGCGAGUGUUUGGGUGGAAAACCCGAGCGCGUAAUGAAAGUGAAAGUUGAGAUCCCUGUCGCGGGGAGCAUCGACGCCCGGACCAGACCNUUUUGUGACGGAUCCGCGGUAGAGCAUGUAUGUUGGGACCCGAAAGAUGGUGAACUAUGCCUGAAUAGGGUGAAGCCAGAGGAAACUCUGGUGGAGGCUCGUAGCGAUUCUGACGUGCAAAUCGAUCGUCAAAUUUGGGUAUAGGGNCGAAAGACUAAUCCAACCAU
RNAcentral lists this ribosomal RNA (912 nucleotides) under Psilocybe makarorae. Its description in RNAcentral is "eukaryotic LSU rRNA". It matches the Rfam family "Eukaryotic large subunit ribosomal RNA", at positions 44 to 943 of the family's 3401-position model. The record is from RNAcentral. Lineage: Eukaryota; Fungi; Basidiomycota; Agaricomycetes; Agaricales; Agrocybaceae.